Molecule: ribosomal RNA, 495 nt
Filed under: uncultured bacterium
Lineage: Bacteria
Description: partial 16S ribosomal RNA
Rfam family: Bacterial small subunit ribosomal RNA
Source: RNAcentral
GAUGAACGCUAGCGGGAGGCCUAACACAUGCAAGCCGAGCGGUAGAGUUCCUUCGGGAACUUGAGAGCGGCGUACGGGUGCGUAACACGUGUGCAACCUACCUUUAUCUGGGGGAUAGCCUUUCGAAAGGAAGAUUAAUACCCCAUUAUAUAUUGAAUGGCAUCAUUUAAUAUUGAAAACUCUGGUGGAUAGAGAUGGGCACGCGCAAGAUUAGAUAGUUGGUGAGGUAACGGCUCACCAAGUCUGUGAUCUUUAGGGGUACUGAGAGGGAGAUACCCGACACUCGUACUGAGACACGGACCAGACUCCUACGGGAGGCAGGAGUGAGGAAAAUUGGCCAGUGAGUGAGAGACUGAUCCAGCCAUCCCGCGUGAAGGAUGACGGUCCUAUGGAUUGUAAACUUCUUUUGUGCAGGAAUAGGCCUAUUUACGUGUAAAUAGCUGAAGGUACUGUACGAAUAAGCACCCGCUAACUCCGUGCCAUCCGCCGCGGUAA